Molecule: ribosomal RNA, 264 nt
Filed under: uncultured Cryptobacterium sp.
Lineage: Bacteria; Bacillati; Actinomycetota; Coriobacteriia; Eggerthellales; Eggerthellaceae
Description: partial 16S ribosomal RNA
Rfam family: Bacterial small subunit ribosomal RNA
Source: RNAcentral
AGAGUGGCGAACGGGUGAGUAACACGUGACCAACCUGCCUCUUACAUUGGGACAACCAAAAGAAAUUCUGGCUAAUACCAAAUACUCCGCACAUAUCACAUGAUGUAUGCGGGAAAGCUUUUGCGGUAAGAGAUGGGGUCGCGGCCCAUUAGGUAGACGGCGGGGUAGAAGCCCACCGUGCCGAUGAUGGGUAGCCGGGUUGAGAGACCGACCGGCCACAUUGGGACUGAGAUACGGCCCAGACUCCUACGGGAGGCAGCAGUU